GCAGCAGUGGCAGAGUUUGGUUUAAUGCACCGGUUUCGAAAACCGGCGUGUCAUUGACACCGGAGGUUCAAAUCCUUUCUGCUGCGCCA
This 89-nucleotide transfer RNA is filed under the name Clostridioides difficile. RNAcentral's name for it is "tRNA-Ser". It matches the Rfam family "tRNA". Rfam says of the family: Transfer RNA (tRNA) molecules are approximately 80 nucleotides in length. Lineage: Bacteria; Bacillati; Bacillota; Clostridia; Peptostreptococcales; Peptostreptococcaceae. RNAcentral also lists the same sequence under 18 other names. The record is from RNAcentral.